This 23-nucleotide small nuclear RNA is filed under the name Arabidopsis thaliana (thale cress). RNAcentral describes it as "snRNA_11934". Lineage: Eukaryota; Viridiplantae; Streptophyta; Magnoliopsida; Brassicales; Brassicaceae. The record is from RNAcentral.
UUGGAAUCUCAACUUUCCAUCCU